UUGUGCAUUAGGGUUCGUAUUGCGUACUAUUUAUUGUUAUCUGUAUAUUUAGGAAGUUCACUUAGGGGAGAGCGGGGUUAUGUGAGACAUCGGGUAAUGUGAGACACCCCCUGUAUCUAGGCAACGGAACACAUUUGUGGUCAUGUGACCAUUAUGUUUUCAAGCCCCUCCCAUUCCCCCAUUGCCAUGAAGGACAAGUUGGUGCUGGUGCUGUGAAAAGCCAUCAUGCCAAGGAACUACACCAGGAAGACAACCUGGGGCCAAACACCCCUCGCAGAGAUGGAGAGUGCAGCCGCUGAGGUCAUGCAAGGAAAGAAGUCCUUAAGAAAAGCUGGAAGGGAUAGAAAUAUUGACAAGUCAACCCUCUAAAGAUUCAUACCAAAAAAGGCACACAUUCCCUCCACACAUGAUUUUUAAUGUGGAUGUAACAGGCGUCUUUACUGUACAAAAGCCACGGCAGGUUGUGACAGAGAAAGGAAAAAAGCAAGUUGGUUCUAUCACAUCGGCUGAGAGAGGAGAACUGGUGACUGUGGUGUGUGCAGUGAAUGCUGCUGGGAAUGCCAUACCUCCCAUGU
Hypomesus transpacificus is the source of this 575-nucleotide long non-coding RNA. RefSeq lists it as uncharacterized. Lineage: Eukaryota; Metazoa; Chordata; Actinopteri; Osmeriformes; Osmeridae. The transcript has 4 exons. The record is from RefSeq and is a predicted model, not a curated record.